Molecule: ribosomal RNA, 252 nt
Filed under: uncultured bacterium
Lineage: Bacteria
Description: partial 16S ribosomal RNA
Rfam family: Bacterial small subunit ribosomal RNA
Source: RNAcentral
UACGUAGGGGGCAAGCGUUGUCCGGAUUUAUUGGGCGUAAAGAGCGUGUAGGCGGCCAGGUAGGUCAGCUGUGAAACUCGAGGCUCAACCUCGAGACGUCGGUUGAAACCACCUGGCUAGAGUCCGGAAGAGGAGAGUGGAAUUCCUGGUGUAGCGGUGAAAUGCGCAGAUAUCAACCAGAACGCCGAUAGCGAAGGCAGCUCGCUGAGGAUGUACCGACGCUGAGGCACGAUAGCGUGGGGAUCAAACAGG